RNAcentral lists this long non-coding RNA (1000 nucleotides) under Ananas comosus (pineapple). RNAcentral's name for it is "long non-coding RNA (ACOM_LNC035846)". Lineage: Eukaryota; Viridiplantae; Streptophyta; Magnoliopsida; Poales; Bromeliaceae. The record is from RNAcentral.
AACUUGUAACUGAAACAUUUAGUUAUAUACAUGCUUUUAUACAUUCAUUUACAUGUCUCUAUACAUCAAAAUGGAUGAUACAUGAACUCAAAAUGGUAAUUGCUAAACUCUGGUGUCAGCUAGCUAAGCUGCAGGGCCCUUGCCACGAUCCUCGGCCUCAAAACCCGCACUGGAACUUGUAUGGUUAGUGGUGUGAGAACUACAAGAAAGUUCCCAGUGGGUUCGGCUGCCGACUUCGCCGACUCACCCACUAGGUCUACUCAGGCAUAUGUAGGCAAGAAAAGUAAGCAGAUAGUAACCAACUAUAACAUGUAACUACUACAAUGCCUGUACAAAGCUGAAAGAAGUAACAGAUAUAAAAACUGUAAAUAUGCAUGCAUGCUUUUCAUUAACUUUACCCAAUCUUUUGGUUAACGCUCUGGUUAACUGCUGGACAAGUACGUUAGUCCUGGGGCAAGUACGUUAGCCCAUAAAUUUACCCAAUUCAGUGGUUAACCCUUUGGUUAACAAUAACUCACCAACGAAAUCCCUCACGGGCCUUAAGCUGCCUCCCGAUGGGACCGUCUGUCGGACAAGUACGUUAGUCCUGGGGCAAGUACGUUAGCCCAACAAGUGACUACUCCGGAGCUCACUGCCUGGGGGGAGCGACCACCACCAAGCUAAGAAAACAGACUAUGUGAGUAAGAUCUGAUCCCCCUUUAGAGGAUUCAACUGACAACAAUGUCACAAUUUAACUCUAACUAGUUCUUUAUACUAGUUUCAUAAUUGCAUUUCUUGAUGCUAACCAAAUCUCUAGUCAUGAUGUCACCAAGUUUACUAUUGUCAAAGUCCAUGCAUUCAUAGGGUUCUAUGUCCACAAUCUAAGGUUCACAAAUUCUUAUUGUUGAUAGGAAUUCACAUUUUCACUCGCUCAAUGCCAAACACCCUAUAAUGCAUGACUACAAAUAUAAAUAUGCUCAACGGAGAAUUAUAGACAUAAAAGGUGAUUCAAAGAGUUCGG